UACCGCUCUGAGGAUGAUGGUUCCAGCAAUGGAUGUCCUGACUGUCAAGCUCUCUCUAUGCGUGGCCUCAGUUUUUCUUCUGGACAACCACGUAAGGCAGCCAAUACCAUUUUAUCCCCAAGAAGCAUACCCAGGGAAGAUAGCUGGUUGCUAAACGUUUAUCAGAGCACCACUGAUUAGUCCCUCAAGAGCCAGGAGGUGUGUCUGUCUCACAGAGCCUGGCUUCUAACAGAUUGCUAGAAGUGCUUAUGGAAAUGAAUCAAGCUAAGUGAAAGCUUCCAGUGGGGCCAUAUGGAACCGUGCACCGUGUACACGUGAUCUCUCAUCUGGACAAUGACCUCUGGAGUCUUGGGCACACUGGAAGGGUGGUUUCCCCUACAUGGUCACAAGACUCCGGAGCCCAGCAACCUGAGGCUAUCAGAAGAAAGAAAUCCCGGAAGGACAAGCGAAAUCACUGCAUCAGCCACUCAGUUACUCCUUUGGGUCAGCAGGUGUCCGACUCUUGCCUCACUCUGCCCGCUGACUCUGCGUGGAUCUGUCUGCCUGUCUUGGGCUGUGCAAUCAUCUCCUUCCUAGAAGAAAGUCACGAAAGUCUGGGACUGUAUGACUUUUCAGCUGGUAUCAGGCCAGCCUGAGAGCUGAGACGCUUGGAGUGAAAUGUGGGGGCGUGUGGCCUUACUAAACAAAACCAGAAAGUCUUACACUUGUUUUUUUUUAAUCUCGAUUUGGAAUCUACGUUUGUACCCGUUUCAGAAAUGGAGACUUGCUGCUUCCUGCCCACCCUCCUGGUAGAAGGAAGGCACUCCCUGGCAGAACUUUGGUCCAACCUUGCAAAGGAUGUGCGGGUAGGUUGGCGCAGAUGCCAGGGGACUAAGAAAAGCAGUGGGCACAAUGGGGUGUGUGCCUGGGGGGCAGUGAAGGACUUGGCGUAUCUAGUAGAGUUUGUGUCCUGGGCUCCUUCCACGCUCACAAAAUUCUGAAAACCCCCCAAAAGUACAGGUGCGGAGAAUUUUCAUGGUCAGAAAAUCAGAAGGAAAAUUUAAGUGCUAGAAAAAAUAUUCUGGGCCUCCAAUCCUUCAAAGCUAAGCACGUCCUUGAGUCAGAAUGGAUUGUUUAUCUGGGGGAGGAUGUCGGAUGUCCUCAGGCCUCUCCGUUUAGAGAACAGGAAAUGGGCGCCCCCAAAGGUCAAGUGAGUUGCCCAAGGUUGUCAAAGGGAAGAACUCUGUGUAAACAACUUAAUUUCCAGGGAACCCUUCCCAGCCAGUUCAGCUAAGACCAAAACUGACCUCUCACCCUACACAGUCAGUGGGAGGUGGUGGUCUCUCCUUUAAGAGCAAGUCUGUUGUACACUCAUUGACCCCCGGUCGACUGCCUUGUCUCUAGAGGGAACCCCUCUUACCUGCCCAGCCCCUGUCUCUGAUACAGGAGGGUUAACAGUUUAGCAAUAAAGGGAGCAAUGUCUCAGAAGUAGAAAAGAUGGUGAAAUAGCUCUGAGAGCCAGAAAGUAAAUAUGCCUGAUACUCCACAUUUUGAUCAUUUGGUUCUGUAUAAGGAAAGCAGAGAUCUUACACAGCUGGUGAAGUGACAUGACACAUUACUUGGGUAGGAGAUUGGAAAGAUUCUCCUUUAAUAAAUAAAUGUACCUGCCUUCCCUCUUCUGGUUAGUUGGGAAAUUAAAUGGAAUCAAAACAUUUAAAUGUCACACAAUUAUCUUCAAUUUGAAUGAGUUUAUAGACUCUUCAAUCAUAUCAUCUCUCCCUUUCUGUCUUCUCUCCCUCUCAUAUGUUCUAAGUCUUUAUUGUGAGGCAGGUGUUUCCACCAAUACAAAGAAAUUAAAGCAUGGGAAAACAUGAUUCGCUCAAUUAAGUCAAGCUUAACUGGCAGACAAGAGGCUUAGGUCCUGGACUUCUAUUUCAAUUCAAACUCUCUGUCUGCCACAUGUAACUCGAGUUUUCCAGGUUAGGAAAGAGCCGACUUCUCUCCUGGACAGGUUGGGUGUCUCAGUGAUCAAUAACUAUACCUUUUACCUUGGGGAACAAGACAGCAGGCGUGGGGAAGAUUAGGACCAAGCACAGUUGUGUUAGAAGCAGGUGAUAUGCCACAUCUUGUUAUAGAAAAUAAAAAUGCCAGGAGAAGAAGUUUCCUUAGGAUGUACAUCUGACAGGGCUGACAGCAGUGGGGACAGAAACUACCUUCUGAAUGCUGUCUGGUCUCUGCCCAUUACUCUGGCUGCUUGUGCUCCCAUGAGUACCAAGCACCGAGUCUAAACACUGAGUGAAGGGUGAGCCCUGCCAGUCCGUAGUUGAGUUUCUCUGAGAACUUCCUAAGGUCAGCCUUAGAAAAUAGUCUGAAAAUGCUUGCUUACCUACCCAAUGGGGGAAAAUUUAAAUGAGUGGAUCCUUUUGAGAGACAGAAACAUUCUAUUUGUCUAAGAGAGGAAGACACAGAGCAUGAAACUCCUCUUUUCAAGAAGAACGAGCCAGAAUGCUGACAAUGUUGUCUGUUAUAUCUUUAAGUUACAGGGAAUUGAAACAACCCAGAAAAAUAAUUGCCCUCCCACAAUGUCAGAGGAUAUGGUUUAACCUACUUCUGUCAUUUGCUCAACAAAAACUGCAGUGUGUGUAUAUGCGUUACGUGCUUGAAAAUGCAUUGCCACCAGGUUCAAACCAAGAGCACCUCCAAGGGUCAGGAAUAAACUUUGGAGGGAAAACAGAUGUGUUCCAACAGUUGACCCUGACUGCAAGGUCAUGACAGCACCUCAGCAGAAGGCCUGGGCUCGCUGUUUUCAGAGGCUGAGCGAGGCUAUGGAAGAGCCUCUUUUCAAAUCCAUUCUGGUUUCUCUGAGUCCAUCCCAAAAGAGGGAAGCAGGGGAGCUGCCUGAGGUCACACCAGGUCAGUGGGCAUGGUCUUUCCAAAUGGGACACUGGCUCUUAGGCCGGAGGGGGAGCUAGGACUCAACAGAGUCAUCUGCUGUGUCCCGCCUUUCUUCCUUCAGCCAACUCGUUCACUGGGGUGGCGUUCCCAAUGUAUGGGGAGGUCGUCUCUCAAGGUGGAGUUCAAGGUGGAGUCCUUUGUGUUGCAGUGCUUGGUGACCACGUCAUCUUCCUACAGCACAGCUGGUCACUAUUUCCCAACACUGCCAGUGCCUCACACCUUGCUUGUUCAGACCAAGACGGCAGCCUCCAGGAGGAUCCCCACCUCAUGUCGCAGACUCACAGGGCUUCCCCUGUCACCCUCCCUGCCCCGAGCGCCAGCUCUUCUUCAAACCUACACCUCAUCUCCUUCCAAAUACCCUCCUCUUCAGGCCACUGGGCAAGAGAGCUAACUUACUCCUCUUGGGAGACUUGGAUGACGCUGUAUUACUACGCAAGAUGCAGAAGCCAGGCUGAGACAGUUCAAACUUCAACAACAAAGAAUGGAGUUUGUGGAUUUUCCACUGUGGACCAGGUACCACGCCAAGCACUUUCACAUGGGCCACGCGGUUAACCCCAUGAGCGGCCUUCGAGGUAGCUUUGCCUGUAGCGUUUUUGUGGUGGAGGAAAUGGACUGUGGGUUCUGCUGUCCGUGGGAGAAGUGCAGUUCAGAGUCUUGCUGAUGGCAUAGCUCUAUACCACCUCAUGGCUGCCCACAGGGGAUGGGCUCCUGAGACGGGAAGAGUUCCACCCUACGGUCAAGAGCUCUCAUCCCUGGCUUUCUGUCUUUGCCCCCCUAUAGUCAGAGAAACACAGCUCCACGAAUUCACCAAACACACCCAGCUGAUUUUUUGGUGAUUGGCAAAAGUCAUCUAAGCUCCUUCCUGCAGUCACCAUGGUCAGAAACAAUGUCCUCUCCCUCACUGGAUUUCCAGCACUGCCUUUUUGGUCCUAAAUGUUUUCAUGCUCCACUGCCAGAGCGUCAUUCUCUUUUUUCCUUGACUUCUCCCAAAACGCUCCAAAGUGUUAGCACCAUGUUGCAGAGAUGUAGAGACACCCAGGUCCUGCGAGCAAUGGAGGAGUGGAACUCACUAUCUUUUGAUCUCUUAGCUUUUGGAAAUGCCCGAGUCCUCCCACUUCUACCUUCCAGAGAGAGGCCGGGCGGCUUGUGUCUCUCUCUCCUCCCAUCCCAGGGAAUGGCUCUGUGUGGGAUGCGGGCUUUGGAAGUGGGGCAGCUGUUCAUGGCAACUGUUUGCAGCUCAGAGCAGGGGGCAGUGGGGCACUUUCCACCUUGAUCCCACGCAGGGCAGAACCAGCUUUCAGGGAGCUGGGCCCAGGCCCAGAGCUGACCACACCGCCCACCCACGGCUGCCUCUCCAGGGGACAGCAGGGGAGAGCAGCAGGUGUGGGGUGAAGCGGGAGCUCAGCAACGCCCCCUCUGAGCUCCCAGUGUGCCUGUGCCCACCUGGCACAGCACUUAGCUCUCUGCCUUCCAAUUUCUUAAGCCUCUGUCUCCCCCACUGCAUUGUGAGUGGCUUGAGAGUAGAGUCCGCAUUUUCUUAUCUCCAGCUUGGAGGACAGCACUUUGCCUGCACGUAGUAACUGCACACUACGGCUGGGAUGGACCAAUGGGAGGGGAAACAUUGGUAUUUUAUGUGGAUGUUGUUCUUGGCUGCUGAGGUCACAGACUGCUGUCUCUCAUCAGAGGUCAGGAUCCUGCACUCCUCUCUGCUCAUGAACCUCCCCACACACUGUGCUGACUCCUCUUCCUCUGGCCUGCCCACCCCUGCAGAGGGCAGACCCCAGGGAAGAGCCCUCAGGAACUGGGCUAACAGAGCCAUGCGCUGCGCAUGCUAAGUCGGUUUGGGCCAGGGAGAGGAUGGUUUGAAUGAUACUGUUCUUGGGUUGGAAGGGGGACUGUGGGAGUGACACAGAGCAGCUGUUUCCACUUAAAAUUGAUUAGCAAGUAUCGCUACAAAUGAACUUGGAAUUUAAAACAAAACUCCAUGGAAACCAAUCUUUCUAAAUCAUUCUCAACUGGUGGAGAGAAAGAAGUUUCUCUAGCUGACACCAAAAAAGGUCUCCUUUGGCCCUGUGCUUCCCUGCUGGCCUGCCUGCAUCACCGAGAUGGAACAGAGCCUCAUUCUCCCCGGCUGGCUGCGUGUCGCCCACGGUAACUGGCCCCAUGCUGAUGCCCAGUGCUGUCCACAGAGCUGCGAGUGAAAUUCCACCUGAACAGAGGCAUCCAGGCCAGCUCCACUCCACGUUGGGGCGAGAGCCACACUCUUGGUGAUUGAUCUCGGAGCUGCCCCUGGCACUCUUAGAGCGCGCCUAGCACUGCACUGCACAUCUGUCUCUCCACUGCACCUUGGGCUUCCUGAGGGCAGGCACUUUGUCCAUUCUUAGUCACGAUGGUGCCCUCAGUGCCUUGGAUUGACCCUGUAUAAGGUGGCUGCUCAACAAAUACUGACUGGCAGAAUUACUCUCUGUCUUCUGUACACUACCACUCCAUUGACGACAAAUUCCUGUUCAGAAGAGGAUAUUUCUGAAUCUUCUGCAUUGUGGGCUGAACCACAUUCCCCCAAAAGGUAUUCUGAGAGCCCAGGAGUCGGCUGGAAACGUAUCCCUCCAGAAUGUACAUGGACCUCACAUGUAGAGGCUGUUUCAGACAGGAAAGAAAGAGGAAGGAAGUCAAGACUGUCUGAAAAUGGAAACUGAUAAAUC
Oryctolagus cuniculus (rabbit) is the source of this 5636-nucleotide non-coding RNA. Lineage: Eukaryota; Metazoa; Chordata; Mammalia; Lagomorpha; Leporidae. The record is from RefSeq and is a predicted model, not a curated record.